RNA transcript from Rhopalosiphum maidis (corn leaf aphid), 2557 nucleotides. It is a transcript of the gene named protein SON, with no coding region annotated. NCBI's taxonomy places the organism in Eukaryota, Metazoa, Arthropoda, Insecta, Hemiptera, Aphididae. The record is from RefSeq and is a predicted model, not a curated record. The transcript has 10 exons.
UAAUAUAUUAUAAUCUAAUAACUACCUAUUAACUAAUUAGACUAAUUAAGAAUAAUUUUAACUUCUAUGACUGCAUUUUAUUUAUUGUUCGUAUUCUCUUAUUUCUCAUUAAUUCUUCAUAAUUAGUGAGUAAAUUUAAAUUAUUACAUUAUACAUUUUACAUGGAGAAGACAUCAGAUACAAUAGUUAAAGAGUUAUUCAACUCUUUGGAGCAGAAAAUGCCUUGUGUUCCUGAUACAGAAGUUACGUCCACUUACUCGGUGCCAGAAUCCAUUAAGAAACACAAGCGACAUGAUAAAUCAAAAAAAAAACAUAAAAAACACAAGAAAAAAUCAAAGAAAUCCAAAAAGAAAAAACGACAUGAUAAAUCUAAUUCACCUGAUGAUUGCAUAGAACUGAAACUCAAAAAAAAUAAGCUAGAAGAAGCCAAAUCUGGUAUGUCAGUAUCAUUAGAUGUGAUCAUGGAAACAAUUGUGAGUACGGCUAAUGAAAAAAGUGAGGAGGUCAAAGACAUUAAAUACAAUGAAAAUGAGCUCUGUCAUCAUACAAUUAAUUUAAUAGAUACAAAUAAAGUACAGACACCAGAAAAUGAUUCAAAUCAAUUAAAACAUAAUACUAUUGGAUUAAAUAAUGGAAAAAUCAUCAUUAAAGAUUUAAAAGAGAGCCGUUUAUACCAUGAAUUAGUUCUUAAAGUUCAAGAAAAAGAAAGAUUGAAAACCGAAAAAUGUAAAAAUAGUGAAUCUAGUAGUUUAGACAAAAAGAAAAAAAAAGAAAAGCAUAAAUCAAAAAAAAAGAAAAGAUCAAGAAGUAGAAAUAGAUCAAGUACUCCAAAACGACUUAAGAAGUAUAGUCGAUCUCGUUCAAAUAGCAAAGAUAAGUAUUUGAGACACGAUGACUUUAAAAGUCAUCAAACUAAUUCAAGGAACCAAAGUGACACUAGUAUUAAGUGUAAAAAUAAUGAUAGUGAUAUUAAAUCAAAAGAAAAAAGCAAUCAUCAUAAAAGAUCUAUAACACCAGAUAAAUACUCAAAAUCAAUUAUAUGUUCAAGAUCGAGGGAUAGUAAAAAGUCAAAGAGAUCAGAAGAUUAUUAUAGAACAAGAAAACAAUCGAGGUCUAGAGAAACAUCUAGGAGUAGACAUAGAUCUCCUUCUUGUGAAAAAAUUGAUAAAAAAAAGUUAUUUAAAAUAGCUCGUAAAAAUGCCUUGUCCCUAGUACAACAAGGUGUAUUACCAGUGGGAAGUGUAAAAAAGGAUACUUUAGCCAAUGUACCCACUAAAACUGUUGAUGAAUUAACAGAUUUUUGUCGUAAACUUUCAAAAAAAGAUAAGGAUCAUGAUGAUGAUACUUCUUAUUCUUCUUCUGAUGAUGAAUUCAAACAACCUUUCCACCAUCCAUUUUUGGUCAAGGAAAGACCUAAUAUAGUCAUGAAUAUUAGAAACGCGACUCAAUUACCAGUUAAAUCCUUUCAAGAAAAAACUAUUGGGCAAGAUAUAUUGAGACAACAGUUUCCUGUAUCCAGUGGCCAAACUCAUAGUUUGGCUCUUACUGAAUGGAUGCCCAUAGGUCCUGAGGAAUCUGCAAAAUUAAAUAAAAUACUUAGACCUGAUGAAGGAAACAAACUUUCUAACAAGUCACAUCAUAUUCAACAGGCUCCAAAAGUUGUUCCUGUGGAACCCAUUAUUCAGCCUGUUUCUAGUCCAACCAAUGCUAUAGUGCCUAUGGAUUAUCAGUAUGUGUCUCCUGCUAUAGAAACUCCAGCAUUCAUACCUUAUGCGCAUGGUAAUUAUUCAUUGUUGUCAUUCGAAACUGGACAGUUCACUGGUCAUACUGGUGCUAAAGUACUAACCCCUGCAGAACUUUCUGCUGGAUUUCAAACCUGGGUGAAAAAGGUAAAAUGUAUAGGAACUUUAUACUCUGAUUUUUCUUUUCAUUUUUUUAAAUAUAUAGUUGGUAUAACACAUUUUUACACUAUAUAUUGUUUUCUUCAAAUUCGAUAUUGACAAUUUUCAUUGGGCUUUCAAACACUUGGAAAUAUUACCGUAACUUUUAAGGUAAUAAAAAUGAUUAUUGAAAAAGACAAAUAAAACAUUUGUUUACAACUUAAAAAUACAUUACAUUUUAAUCAUUUUUUUAAAUACAGUGUGUUGAUUGUUGGUUACUGAGAACCUACUCAAUUCAAACAAAAUAAAUUCAUUGUGCAUUUAAUAAUAAAUUUAGUUUUUGAACUUGUAAGAAAAAGUCUUGCUGUAAUAAUUAAAUGUAUAAUUGAAUAAUUUAAAAUGAAUAUUUUACAUAUUUUAUGAUAUCAAUAUAUUUUUUUUAAACUGUAUGUUUAUCUAGCAAUUGCUGCAUUGCUAAAUAAACAUGCAUAUUAAGUGCACGAAAGCCAAAUGGAAAUCUGUUACAGGCAGUAUUACUUGUGUUUAACAUAUUUAAGCGCUAUAUCAACAACAUCACAAUCGAACGACGGUUCGUCUGCUGAACAUUCAUGGGAUAUCUGAUGCAGCCCCCUGGAUCAGCUGAAAAAUUCUGCUCCUGUAAAUAGUGGUAUUGGGAU